GGGGGUGGAGCUCAGUGGUAGAGCACAUGCUUAGCAUGCACAUGAGGUCUGGGGUUCAAUCCCCAGUGCCUCCA
RNAcentral lists this transfer RNA (74 nucleotides) under Camelus bactrianus (Bactrian camel). It matches the Rfam family "tRNA". From Rfam's summary of the family: Transfer RNA (tRNA) molecules are approximately 80 nucleotides in length. Their secondary structure includes four short double-helical elements and three loops (D, anti-codon, and T loops). Lineage: Eukaryota; Metazoa; Chordata; Mammalia; Artiodactyla; Camelidae. The record is from Rfam by way of RNAcentral. RNAcentral also lists the same sequence under 2 other names.